GUGCCCGUAACUCAGUGGUAGAGUGUGAGAUUGCAAUAUAGAAGUGACCGCCACGCAAUCCUUGCAAUAUCUUGAAGCCCCGUGUUCGACCCACGGCGGGCACU
Molecule: non-coding RNA, 104 nt
Organism: Marasmius tenuissimus
Lineage: Eukaryota; Fungi; Basidiomycota; Agaricomycetes; Agaricales; Marasmiaceae
Source: the annotation of a GenBank genome assembly